GACGAACGCUGGCGGCGUGCUUAACACAUGCAAGUCGAACGGAAAGGCCCUGCUUUUGUGGGGUGCUCGAGUGGCGAACGGGUGAGUAACACGUGAGUAACCUGCCCUUGACUUUGGGAUAACUUCAGGAAACUGGGGCUAAUACCGGAUAGGAGCUCCUGCUGCAUGGUGGGGGUUGGAAAGUUUCGGCGGUUGGGGAUGGACUCGCGGCUUAUCAGCUUGUUGGUGGGGUAGUGGCUUACCAAGGCUUUGACGGGUAGCCGGCCUGAGAGGGUGAACGGCCACAUUGGGCCUGAGAUACGGCCCAGACUCCUACGGGAGGCAGCAGUGGGGAAUAUUGCACAAUGGGCGGAAGCCUGAUGCAGCAACGCCGCGUGCGGGAUGACGGCCUUCGGGUUGUAAACCGCUUUCGCCUGUGACGAAGCGAGAGUGACGGUAAUGGGUAAAGAAGCACCGGCUAACUACGUG
RNAcentral lists this ribosomal RNA (468 nucleotides) under uncultured bacterium. RNAcentral describes it as "partial 16S ribosomal RNA". It matches the Rfam family "Bacterial small subunit ribosomal RNA", at positions 28 to 507 of the family's 1533-position model. The record is from RNAcentral.